RNAcentral lists this ribosomal RNA (572 nucleotides) under uncultured Glomeromycotina. RNAcentral describes it as "SSU rRNA". It matches the Rfam family "Eukaryotic small subunit ribosomal RNA", at positions 548 to 1114 of the family's 1831-position model. Lineage: Eukaryota; Fungi; Glomeromycota. The record is from RNAcentral.
UUGGAGGGCAAGUCUGGUGCCAGCAGCCGCGGUAAUUCCAGCUCCAAUAGCGUAUAUUAAAGUUGUUGCAGUUAAAAAGCUCGUAGUUGAAUUUCGGGAUUGACGUGAUGGUCAUGCCUUAAGGGGUAUGAACUGUUACAGUUGGUUUCUCACCUUCUGGAGAAACUUGAUGUCCUUUAUUGGGUGUCUUGCGGAUCCAGGACCUUUACCUUGAAAAAAUUAGAGUGUUUAAAGCAGGCAUUUUUGCUCGAAUACAUUAGCAUGGAAUAAUAGAAUAGGACGGCAUGGUUCUAUUUUGUUGGUUUCUAGGAUCACCGUAAUGAUUAAUAGGGAUAGUUGGGGGCAUUAGUAUUCAAUUGUCAGAGGUGAAAUUCUUGGAUUUAUUGAAGACUAACUACUGCGAAAGCAUUUGCCAAGGAUGUUUUCAUUAAUCAAGAACGAAAGUUAGGGGAUCGAAGACGAUCAGAUACCGUCGUAGUCUUAACCAUAAACUAUGCCGACUAGGAACCAGACGAUGUUAAUUUUUUAAUGACUCGUUUGGCACCUUACGGGAAACCAAAGUGUUUGGGUUC